RNAcentral lists this transfer-messenger RNA (400 nucleotides) under Dysgonamonadaceae bacterium. It matches the Rfam family "transfer-messenger RNA". From Rfam's summary of the family: Bacterial tmRNA, also known as 10Sa RNA or SsrA, is named for its dual tRNA and mRNA-like properties. Its role is to liberate the mRNA from a stalled ribosome. The record is from RNAcentral. Lineage: Bacteria; Pseudomonadati; Bacteroidota; Bacteroidia; Bacteroidales; Dysgonomonadaceae.
GGGGUUGACUGGUUUUGACAGCGUGUAGAAGUGGUUUGUAAGCAUGCAGCGCCUUGUUAUUCAGCGCUUAAAUCACGGAUAACGAACAAUUAAUUGGCGAAAAUAAUUACGCUCUCGCUGCUUGAUUGAAGCAUAGUAGAUCAUAAGCUUUAUUCCAUCUCAAGGAGAUGGAACGAGACAUCACCCGGAAGCUGUGGCUUCGAAGCAAUCCGAAAAGGUGGUGCAGAUAUAUCGGAGAUAGUUUGAAACAUGCCUUGAGUUUCAGGCGAAAUUUAGAGGAUAAGCUCAAUAUUGGUAGCCUUAGUCUUGUGUUGAGUCGAAAAUAAAAAUAAGGAUAAGCAUGUAGAAAGCAAGUUAAUUCCGCGUUUGGACGAGGGUUCGAUUCCCUCCAGCUCCACAA